Molecule: ribosomal RNA, 404 nt
Filed under: Actinomycetes bacterium
Lineage: Bacteria; Bacillati; Actinomycetota; Actinomycetes
Description: Actinobacteria bacterium partial 16S ribosomal RNA
Rfam family: Bacterial small subunit ribosomal RNA
Source: RNAcentral
UGGGGAAUAUUGGACAAUGGGCGCAAGCCUGAUCCAGCCAUGCCGCGUGAGUGAUGAAGGCCCUAGGGUUGUAAAGCUCUUUCACCGGUGAAGAUAAUGACGGUAACCGGAGAAGAAGCCCCGGCUAACGUCGUGCCAGCAGCCGCGGUAAUACGAAGGGGGCUAGCGUUGUUCGGAUUUACUGGGCGUAAAGCGCACGUAGGCGGACUAUUAAGUCAGGGGUGAAAUCCCGGGGCUCAACCCCGGAACUGCCUUUGAUACUGGUAGUCUUGAGUUCGAGAGAGGUGAGUGGAAUUCCGAGUGUAUAGGUGAAAUUCGUAGAUAUUCGGAGGAACACCAGUGGCGAAGGCGGCUCACUGGCUCGAUACUGACGCUGAGGUGCGAAAGCGAGGGGAGCAAACAGG